UAGGGAAUCUUCGGCAAUGGACGAAAGUCUGACCGAGCAACGCCGCGUGAGUGAAGAAGGUUUUCGGAUCGUAAAACUCUGUUGUUAGAGAAGAACGUUGCAUAGAGUGGAAAAUUAUGCAAGUGACGGUAUCUAACCAGAAAGGGACGGCUAACUACGUGCCAGCAGCCGCGGUAAUACGUAGGUCCCGAGCGUUGUCCGGAUUUAUUGGGCGUAAAGCGAGCGCAGGUGGUUUAAUAAGUCUGAUGUAAAAGGCAGUGGCUCAACCAUUGUGUGCAUUGGAAACUGUUAGACUUGAGUGCAGUAGAGGAGAGUGGAAUUCCAUGUGUAGCGGUGAAAUGCGUAGAUAUAUGGAGGAACACCGGUGGCGAAAGCGGCUCUCUGGACUGUCACUGACACUGAGGCUCGAAAGCGUGGGUAGCAAACAGGAUUAGAUACCCUGGUAGUCCACGCCGUAAACGAUGAGUGCUAGUUGUUUGGGGCUAUCCAGCCCUA
This 495-nucleotide ribosomal RNA is filed under the name uncultured bacterium. Its description in RNAcentral is "partial 16S ribosomal RNA". It matches the Rfam family "Bacterial small subunit ribosomal RNA", at positions 355 to 841 of the family's 1533-position model. The record is from RNAcentral.